GACGAACGCUGGCGGCGUGCUUAACACAUGCAAGUCGAACGGUAAGGCCCUUCGGGGUACACGAGUGGCGAACGGGUGAGUAACACGUGGGUGAUCUGCCCUGCACUUCGGGAUAAGCCUGGGAAACUGGGUCUAAUACCGGAUAGGACCACUGCCUGCAUGGGUGGUGGUGGAAAGCUUUUGCGGUGUGGGAUGGGCCCGCGGCCUAUCAGCUUGUUGGUGGGGUGAUGGCCUACCAAGGCGACGACGGGUAGCCGGCCUGGGAGGGUGGCCGGCAACACUGGGACUGAGAUACGGCCCAGACUCCUACGGGAGGCAGCAGUGGGGAAUAUUGCACAAUGGGCGCAAGCCUGAUGCAGCGACGCCGCGUGAGGGAUGACGGCCUUCGGGUUGUAAACCUCUUUCAGCACCGACGAAGCGCAAGUGACGGUAGGUGCAGAAGAAGGACCGGCCAACUACGUGCCAGCCGCCGCGGUAA
Molecule: ribosomal RNA, 478 nt
Filed under: uncultured bacterium
Lineage: Bacteria
Description: partial 16S ribosomal RNA
Rfam family: Bacterial small subunit ribosomal RNA
Source: RNAcentral